This 90-nucleotide transfer RNA is filed under the name Clostridium sp. CAG:465. RNAcentral describes it as "transfer RNA-Ser(GCT)". It matches the Rfam family "tRNA". From Rfam's summary of the family: Transfer RNA (tRNA) molecules are approximately 80 nucleotides in length. Lineage: Bacteria; Bacillati; Bacillota; Clostridia; Eubacteriales; Clostridiaceae. The record is from RNAcentral. RNAcentral also lists the same sequence under 1 other name.
GGAGAAGUACCCAAGUGGUGAAGGGGACAGUUUGCUAAACUGUUAGGUCUCAAUAGGGGCGCGAGGGUUCGAACCCCUCCUUCUCCGCCA